UCUCAGUGGAUCCCCUGGCUCGUGCAUCGAUGAAGAACGCAGC
Molecule: ribosomal RNA, 43 nt
Filed under: Scirtothrips perseae (avocado thrips)
Lineage: Eukaryota; Metazoa; Arthropoda; Insecta; Thysanoptera; Thripidae
Description: partial 5.8S ribosomal RNA
Source: RNAcentral